This 797-nucleotide long non-coding RNA is filed under the name Volvox carteri. Its description in RNAcentral is "long non-coding RNA (VCAR_LNC002851)". The record is from RNAcentral. Lineage: Eukaryota; Viridiplantae; Chlorophyta; Chlorophyceae; Chlamydomonadales; Volvocaceae.
UUGUCUCAAUGUUCAUAACCUGUCAUGCUGUAUUUAAUGAUAUUUACAACCACUAUGCUGGUUCCUUGUGAGGUUGGAAUGAAUUGGGACGUGUACGGCACCAACCGCUGAAUAUUACUAAGCUUUCCGGCAUUCAGAGUCCGGCAAUCUUGCAGGAACAUCUCUACGCCUUUACUUGGCACACAGCUCAUAUGCUCACCAGUCUGCAUGUACACAAGAUUAGCUGCCUUGAAUGCUGGGGUUAUAACCUGGCGAGGGCAGCGACGUAACUGCCCGCACUUUUACAGCUGUAAGGUUCAUCACCAUGGUCCCAGCCGAGCGGCCUGUGCGCCAUAUGAUUGGUAGCUCAAAUUUCAACACGCCCAUAAUUGCAACGCUUCAAGGCUUAGCUUGCGGCGCAAGGUAGCCGUUCUCGCAAUGCGCUGUUCGUCUUCUUCGUGGCAGUUACGGAUCGCACAGCGCCGCAGCAGCAAGGUAGACAAUUCGCGACCAGUUUCCUCCAGCCCGCAACAGAGAUAAUUUGCUGGUUGUCAAUCCCUUUCCUUAACCCGUACAGCGCAGAACGCGUCUCUGAUUUGCCCGGUUGCUGCACGGAGAUCUCCGCACGGAGGCAGUUUGCAGACGGUUGAAGUUGGUUGGGAGUCCAUAUUUGGAUCUCUCGAGCCGGUUGAUUUGGCAGGUUGGGUCGUAUUCGCUAUACAUGUCUAUCCCGGGGUUGCUUUCCUUAACCCUCCUGGACUGGGCUCUGCCGCUCUCUACGCAGAAACCAGGAUGCUCCUGGUCGGCCGCCAAUCCGG